This 676-nucleotide ribosomal RNA is filed under the name uncultured bacterium. RNAcentral describes it as "bacterial SSU rRNA". It matches the Rfam family "Bacterial small subunit ribosomal RNA", at positions 8 to 694 of the family's 1533-position model. The record is from RNAcentral.
AGAGUUUGAUCCUGGCUCAGGACGAACGCUGGCGGUGUGCUUCACACAUGCAAGUCGAGCGAAUGAAGUAGGUAGCUUGCUACUUAUGGAUUUAGCGGCGGACGGGUGAGUAAUAUAUAGGAAUCUGCCUUAGAGCGGGGAACAACAGACCGAAAGGUUUGCUAAUGCCCCAUAGGUAUGCAGUCUUCGGAUUGUAUAUUAAAGGAGUAAUCCACUCUAAGAUGAGCCUGUAUCCGAUUAGCUAGUUGGCGGGGUAAAGGCCCACCAAGGCUACGAUCGGUAGUUGGUCUGAGAGGAUGAUCAGCCACAAUGGGACUGAGACACGGCCCAUACUCCUACGGGAGGCAGCAGUGGGGAAUUUUACACAAUGGGGGAAACCCUGAUGUAGCGACACCGCGUGAACGGAGAAGCCUUUUGGGGUGUAAAGUUCUGUCGGCUGGAACGAAAAAAAUGACGGUACCAGCAAAGGAAGCAUCGGCUAACUACGUGCCAGCAGCCGCGGUAAGACGUAGGAUGCAAGCGUUGUCCGGAUUUAUUGGGCGUAAAGAGUUCGUAGGCGGUUAUUUAAGUCUGAUGUUAAAUACUGUGGCCCAACCACAGAACUGCAUUGGAUACUGGAUGACUUGAGUGCGGUAGAGGCAAGUGGAAUUCCCAGUGUAGCGGUGAAAUGCGUAGA